RNAcentral lists this transfer RNA (75 nucleotides) under Opitutus terrae PB90-1. Its description in RNAcentral is "tRNA-Arg (GCG) (tRNA-Arg-GCG-1-1)". It matches the Rfam family "tRNA". From Rfam's summary of the family: Transfer RNA (tRNA) molecules are approximately 80 nucleotides in length. Their secondary structure includes four short double-helical elements and three loops (D, anti-codon, and T loops). The record is from RNAcentral. Lineage: Bacteria; Pseudomonadati; Verrucomicrobiota; Opitutia; Opitutales; Opitutaceae.
CUUCCCGUAGUGAAAGAGCUAUCACACGGCUCUGCGAAGGCCGAGUUCCGGGUGCAAUUCCCGGCGGGAGGACCA